This 219-nucleotide long non-coding RNA is filed under the name Ananas comosus (pineapple). Its description in RNAcentral is "long non-coding RNA (ACOM_LNC033005)". The record is from RNAcentral. Lineage: Eukaryota; Viridiplantae; Streptophyta; Magnoliopsida; Poales; Bromeliaceae.
UAAGAUUUAAUCUCUUAAAUCUAGCCAUCACCUAAAAUACUAUAAAAAGAUUAAAAAAUUUAAUCCUAAUAUCUCAUAUAUAGAAUUUUUUUCAAAUCCAGAGGUCUCACAUUUUCUCUCUUUUAAACCUGACGUCUUUAUAAGGCUGAGACACAUUCAUAACUAUCAGGCGAUGUGAGACUCAUCUUGCUAGCUUUAGUCGAUUUUGUGGGAAGCCGC